UACGAUGGGGGCGAGCGUUGUUCGGAAUUAUUGGGCGUAAAGGGUGCGUAGGCGGCCUGACAAGUCUGAUGUGAAAUCCCUGGGCUCAACCCAGGGCCUGCAUCGGAAACUGUCGGGCUUGAGUAUGGGAGAGGUGAGUGGAAUUUCCGGUGUAGCGGUGAAAUGCGUAGAUAUCGGAAGGAACACCUGUGGCGAAAGCGGCUCACUGGACCAUUACUGACGCUGAGGCACGAAAGCUAGGGGAGCAAACAGG
This 253-nucleotide ribosomal RNA is filed under the name uncultured bacterium. RNAcentral's name for it is "partial 16S ribosomal RNA". It matches the Rfam family "Bacterial small subunit ribosomal RNA", at positions 524 to 776 of the family's 1533-position model. The record is from RNAcentral.